RNAcentral lists this unclassified non-coding RNA (303 nucleotides) under uncultured fungus. RNAcentral describes it as "partial contains small subunit ribosomal RNA, internal transcribed spacer 1, and 5.8S ribosomal RNA". The stretch from base 1 to 73 matches the Rfam family "Eukaryotic small subunit ribosomal RNA", at positions 1759 to 1831 of the family's 1831-position model. Lineage: Eukaryota; Fungi. The record is from RNAcentral.
UCAAACUUGGUCAUUUAGAGGAAGUAAAAGUCGUAACAAGGUCUCCGUUGGUGAACCAGCGGAGGGAUCAUUACGAAAAGAGUAGAGAUACUCGCAAACCCCAUGUGAACCUUACCUGUCGUUACACGUUGCCCCGGCGGGCAGCCCCUCUCGGGAGGGGCGAACGGGCCCCGGCCCGCCCGCCGGGGGGACGAAAACCAAACUCUUGUUGCGAACGCAGUGGCACAUCCGAGUCAAACAAAAAAACAAGUUAAAACUUUCAACAACGGAUCUCUUGGUUCUGGCAUCGAUGAAGAACGCAGC